CACACACACACACACACACACACACACACACACACACACACACACACACACACACACACACACACCUGUUUGAAUAAACUGCUUUUCAUAUAUUAUUUUCUCUGAUAUUUAGUUCGAAGACAAACAGAAAACCUCCCGGUGUCCGUUGUCAUGGUUUCCUCAUCACAACGUCACGUUCACUCCUACACAUGUACUCCGUGUGGCUCCACACCGUGUUGAACAUUAGACACAUGGACACACACACACACACCAGCUGCUGCUGCUACUAAAGUGGUGCUGAGGCAGACGCACACAAUGUUCCUAAUGCAUAAGCAGGAGUUCUCAAAAUGGUUAGCAUUAGCCAGCUGAAGCUAAACUAGCUCAUCUUAGCUCUCAUAGAACUCUAUUGAUGUGUAGCGUGACAGUUAAAGCUAGUGUAGGAUAUUAGAAAUAAACUGAAGACCCGGUUCAUAAAUUAAUAAAAUGCACCAGAAUUCAGCCAUGACUCUGGAGCUGUGUAAUCAAUAAAGUGAUGACAAUAUUGUAAAACACUGUAAUCAAUAGAAUAAUAUCAAUAUACAGCUGUGAUUGUAUUUGAUGUCAUGUAAUCAACUGAAAUACAUGUAAUACUGUAACAUGUAAUACUUGAUCGCACCACAACUGAUAUUGACUGAGAGACAAUGGAAACCCACCAGCAGUAAAGGUGUGAGAAACCCACCAGCAGUAAAGGUGUGAGAAACCCACCAGCAGACGCUCCCAGAGGUUCCACACUUUACUGCUCUGUAUGAAAACCUGUAGGCGACCAUUGCUCUAGAGUUCGCUGGUGGAGGCAGCAGACGGCACUAUGGGGCCUGUUGACUGCAGAGACCAGCGGCUCCUCAGCUGAGAUGCUCUCUUUUACCACAACACCUUAUUCUUUUUAUUAAAUUCUUUUGAUUAUAACCCUAAAGCGUCUAAUUGAUAGUUAUGAAUAUCUAUGUACUGUAUCAUCUUAUGUAUCAGAUGUAUGUACAUGACCAUAUAGAACUAGUUUAUUAUAUGUGAUCAUUAUAUAUAUUGUUGAUAAUCAGACAUUUGAUCAAUUGAAGCAGUGAAAUGUGGAACAUUCAGAAGUUUAUUAAGCGACAAAUAAAACUGAUGGUAUAUAGUCAGUCUGCAGUGGAGAGGAUCCCACAUCUAUUUUACAGACAAGCAAGACAGAAACAUCCUAAUACAAUAAUAUGAUAGUUGUAUAUAAUACAAAAUAGUAACAUGAGGUGAACUAUCAAGUGUUUUAGUACAGUAGGUACAACUAGAGGUAUAAGUACAGGUUCAUGUCAUAAGAACCAGCAGCAAAUCACACAACUAUUAAUCUCUAAAGUAUGAAGACCCUGUCAGUUUAUAUUUAAAGGAAAGGAAAUAUUUUAUCAUCUCUAAAGUAAUAAGAUGACAGUUAAACUUUGACCUUGUUAGACACUCAUGUUAAUCAUUUCACAUACUACUAUCACAUGGUAUUUAUAUGUGUGUACAUGAAUUAUCUUGUGUUUAUUUUGUUUCUCAAAAAAUAAAAACACAAGGGGCAGUGCUUCCUCUACCAGCAACACUGACGUUUACAUGUCUGCGUACGCAGCCCCCUCUGAAAGCUGUAAACCUCUAAACGUCUGUUUAUUUUACUUCCCGUUGUUUGUUUGCAGGAGGAAAGAGGCAGAGAGAAGCAGGGCUGCUACCGCUAGAGCUAAUGCUGCUAGAGCUAAUGCCAUAGAGAUAAUGCCGCUAGAGCUAAUGCUGCUAGAGCUAAUGCCAUAGAGAUAAUGCCGCUAGAGCUAAUGCCGCUAGAGCUAAUGCCGUAGAGCUAAUGCCGCUAGAGCUAAUGCUGCUAGAGCUAAUGCCGUUGAGCUAAUGCCCGUAGAGCUAAUGCUGCUGAAGAAAAUGCUGCUACUGUUGUGGUGCUCAAAUAUUAAUGCAACUAAUCUAAUGUUAAUGCUGCUUCUUCUAAGGAGCUAAUAAUCAUGCUGCUGUUACUGAUGUUAAUGCUGUGUGUGUGUGUGUGUGUGUGUGUGUGUGAGAGAGAGAUGCCUCGUCAACUGGCAAUCUUUCUUAAUCUAAUUUAAAGCCGUAACACCAGGUGGUCCUCAACUCCGUGUGUAAGCAGUGUGUGUGUGCAGGUUUCUGUAGGCUGGGAUCUAAUAUGUGUGAGUGCAGUGAGACCAGGUGUGAGGCUUCCUCUUCCAUUCAGACACCAAUCAACCGCGGUUGAUAUCCCACCAUGAAAUACUGCUUAUUGGCUAAUUUGUGUGUGUGUGUGUGUGUACACCACUGCCAGAGCAAUGUUAACAGUUUAAAUGAGUGAAUUCAUGCUCCUUCUCACAGCACCCAACCAAUCAAUGGCCUCGCCCUGCGCUGAAAGAGCGAUGUGAUUGGACGGGAGUUCACUGCGAUAAUCAGAUUCAGAACCAUUUGUUUGCCGAGUAUGUUGGACAUACAAGGAAUUUGUCAUGGCGGGUAGUGCACACAUGACAUUGGACAAGACAAUCAUUUACAAUUAAAUCAAUAUAAUAGAAAUAUAGAAAAAAAGUACACGUAAAGUUAUUUAUUUUGAAAUAAAGCACCAAGUUUAGUUCAACAUCUCUCAAAAGAAGAAACCUCGUCCGACGCCUACGAGAGACGUUGUUUCUGUAAACUCUUGUUUAAGGACGUUCUCAAACGGUUCCAACCAGCUAAGUAGUUCCACAUCUACCAGCCAUAAAGACAGUGAAGCCUCUCGCUUUAUUUAAUUGACUGUUUGGACCAUUGUCAGAACGUUGAGAAGUUUUAGCUUCUCCGUUUGUUUUCACAUGACGGCACGUCUCAGAUGAAUCAAUCUGACUUCAUGGAUUAACUGAGGACCUGAGAAUCGGUUUCCAACAGAACCUGGUUCAAAUGAACGGUUUAUUUCUGGAGGGAUUUAGAAUACAUUUGUUUGUGAUGAAACAUUACAAUUUAACCCUUCAUUGCUAGGGCAGUGAAUAAUGGGAUGCUCCAGCGUUGGAAAUACACAAGGGCAAAGGGAAAAAUUGCCCCCAACAAAUAUUAUUUCCCCCCCCCCAAUAUUACGAGGAGAGGGGCAAAAAAUGCCCCCAUAAUCUCCUCCAACAAUAAUUACAAUUUAGUUAAAUUGUCAAAAACAUCAAAGCUGUAAUAACCCGGUCCAGUUGUCAUAGAAUGUUUUUGAUUCUCGUCUUGACGGAAAGAAUCAAACGUUCUUAAAUAAAUUUAAAAGUAGUGCUUCUUAUCAAGGGGAGCGAAGACAUUAAGAAAUACGUCACCAGGCGACUGACGUUAGCUAACAUCCCAUACGCGAGCCAACGUUAGGUAACGUCACACAGAAGCUCUGUCACGUUAGCAAACGUCACACAGAGCCUCUGACGUUAGCUAACGUCAGAGGCUCUGUCGCAACAUGCGUAAGAGCCAAAUAUCCCAGAAUGCAUUUCACCUCAGCAACAGGCAACAACGACGUAGGAAAAUAAACAAACUGUCAAAGUUUAUAAAUACUAAUAUAUUUAAGUCACAGAAUGUAGUUUUAGGACUUUUUCAGACGAGAAGUUAGUUGUUUAAGCAGCAUUUCUACGGUCGGUUUGUCAACAUUCAGCCUUCGUAACGAUUUGGUCCAGGAUGGGAGAUGUGAGGUGUAGUUAACGUGUGACCCCUCCGGCGCCGCUCAUCUCAGCCCGCAGAGAGCAGCCAGUUCUCUGCAAGUCUUCUGUGAAAUGCUGGUUUUUACGUCUCCGUACCGGUUAUACAUGAGCUAUAACUAUACAAUAACUGGGCUGCGUCUUCAUAACUUUUAAUGUGGUAACGUUACGUCUGUUUGAGGACAGAGUUAAAAUUCAUAACUUCAUGUUUAAAUUGAAGCAUAGUGUGCAGGCUUGUUAUAGUCUAUCAUUGUUCAUUCGGUCUGUGAGCCACUUGGUACCGGGCCGCACCACAGAAGGAAUAUGUAUAUUUAUUUUCUGAAAAAUGUUUUAAUUUGAAUAUAUCGUCCUCUUACCUCUUGCGCGCAACUACCACCAUAUCGUAGAUAUUACAUACUAUGACGUUAAUCACAAAUGAUGUCAUCCGUCUUACAGUGUAUAGCCUCAUUGAUCACCAUAUUAUAUACAUAACAUACUAUUACGUAAUGUGGAGACACAGAAGAGGUUCAGGUACAUCGGCAAUGUGAUUUAUAGUGCUGUUUGUGCGUUUAACUGUACGAGGACCAUCACACUGAUCAUCGGCCUCUUGGUGUUUGAGUAACAAGAAGACAAACGGUAGGUGUGUGUAAGUGGAAUGUGUUACUAUCCAAUAAAAUACUGUUUAAUUGUUCUUACUGUAUCCAACCUCGUCUUACUUUGAUGAAAGUAUGAAACCAUUAGAACGCUAAUGCAGUGUGAUGUUCCCGAUUCUUGAUGUAAUACAAAAGCCCUGAAUUAAAUGUUCACCUCAGUAACGUUUGUAUGUUGUUCUUCCAUCCAAUAUGAAUACAAAGUAGAUAUAAACCUGUCAGUGUGAUCCAGUAAAGAACUACAGCUGCUCCUCUUCAUCUCCUUUAGAAAGAUGUUUGACUGUUUAACAACUGUGAUCUGAUCCAUUGAGAUAUUUGGCCUUAUUAUUUUUUGACUGAUAUAUAUUUACUCUGGUGCUCCAUUUUAUAAAUACACCAUUUCUAAUCCAAAAUGAAAACACAACAAAAGCUUGAUAACAGUAAAAUACUUAAGUCAAGAACUGUAUUGAAAUGUAUUAGCAAGACCAGCUGACGCGGUGACUCAUCUAGUCAGCUGUUGUUCAUAUUGCGGAAAUGACUGUUCUCGGUUCUCCUGUAACGUUAGUCAGGACUCCCGAGUCUGUCCUCCGUUGUCGCCGUCUUGGUGGUAUUGAGAAAGGGCCUGAGUGUACAUAGUCGGUGAGAGAUGUCUCACUCGGAUGCAAAGACAGCGUUCUGCUGAAUGUUCAAGCGGUUUGAAUCUGUAGACUACUGCCUAAUAGUCUCAUUGCUGCCAUUUGAUGAAAAAUGCAUAUACAGGAAGGCCAAUUAAGGACAUUUAUUAUUAAUAUUAAUAGAGGUUAAAUGUCCAUCCAUCCAUCAUCAAACCGCUUAUCCUGCACACAGGUCUACAGGAGGAGGAAGCCAAGCGGAGAGAGGAACAGGUGCAGGCCUCUCCUCAAAAUAAUCAAUAUGAUAUGAAUCUCAAUCAGAGGACUCAUUUCCCUCUCUGGCACGGAGCAUCUGAUCCCAGACAAGAAGAAGCUUGGUUACUGUUGAAUUAUUCCUUGACAUGUCAUCAGCCAAUCAGGGAUAAGAGCACUAUGAAGGAGGCAGCUGAUUGGCUGACUUAUAUACACUGAUUCACUUUGUGCUAGUGGAGGAGAGAACAGGGAGGAUAUGUCCUUUCAUACAAAAAAGAAAACUGAUUGGCCGGCUGAGACGUGUUUGAGGUGAGGUCAGUGUAGCGUGUCUCCUCCCUCAGGCCUGUUUGUUUAGGACUCAGCGCGCGCACACACACACACACACACACACACACACUUCCUGUCGCCUCGUUCUCUCCUUACAUGCUGAUGACAUCACCCUCUCUGUACGCAAUCAGCUGUCAGAUGAGCUGAUACAAGAAGAAGAAGAGGAGAUAUGAAAAGAAGGGCUGCUGUUGCCACAGUAACUGCUACUACGAGAAAUGCUGCUAUUGCUACAAUGGCAACUGUUGAGAUGUUCAAGAACUGCAUUAGCAUUAGUAGCUCCACCCGGCUACGUGUUCUCAGAGAGUAGUUAGCAUUAGUAGCUCCAACCAGCUGCAUGUUCUCAGAGAGUAGAGUUAGCAUUAGUAGCUCCACCCGGCUACGUGUUCUUAGAGAGUGGAGUUAGCAUUAGUAGCUCCACCCGGCUACGUGUUCUCAGAGAGUAGGGUUAGCAUUAGUAGCUCCACCCGGCUACGUGUUCUCAGAGAGUAGGGUUAGCAUUAGUAGCUCCACCCGGCUGCAUGUUCUCGAAGAGUGGAGUUAGCAUUAGUAGCUCCACCCGGCUACGUGUUCUCAGAGAGUAGUUAUCAUUAGUAGCUCCACCCGGCUGCGUGUUCUCAGAGAGUAGAGUUAGCAUUAGUAGCUCCACCCAGCUACGUGUUCUCAGAGAGUGGAGUUAGCAUUAGUAGCUCCACCCAGCUACGUGUUCUCAGAGAGUGGAGUUAGCAUUAGUAGCUCCACCCGGCUACGUGUUCUCAGAGAGUGGAGUUAGCAUUAGUAGCUCCACCCAGCUACGUGUUCUCAGAGAGUGGAGUUAGCAUUAGUAGCUCCGUCCUGAUCUGACCUUUGAGUCAGGAACCCACAGCCAGUUUAGCUCUUCCUAUAAGAAGCAGGGUGGAGCUGCAGCUCAGAUGUUAACCUUCUAACCACGCCGGGGUUUCUCUGUGGGUGGUCGCACCAACUAAAAGUCCCUCUGUGGCUUCUGGUUUCAGGUCCACAAUUAUUUCCUGUUUAGUCCACAGACCGCCUCAGUAAGAGCUGGACAUCUGGCUGUAACAGCCUAAAUGCCUGCUGACAUUCGGGGAGCAAAUACGUGGUCUUUGGGGGUCUCUGAGGGUCUGUAGAUAAACUGGAGCUUCACUAUGAUUUAACCCUAAAAUAUAGAAGAAACCCAGAAGCGUUUUUCCCAUUUGAGAAGAAACGCUUGAGUCCAGAUUCCACCAGAGAAAUGAAUCAAACCCUCCUUAUUGUAUUCAACAAGCAUCAAAACCUGGCGAGUAGCUAUGAGAGGAGAUAGAAGGGGAAGGAAGACAGUCUCUGCCGUCUGUCUGUGAUGAUGACUUAAAAGGUCAUGCGGGCCGACGGGGAUUUAAUUUAUUGAGGACGGAGGCGGACCGUCCCAUUUCAGAGGCCGCUCGGUUCAGCCUAUGCGGUUGUUGGAGGACCAGCCCGGGUCUACCGCCAAGCCCGGAGGCUACAAGGAUGCAGCCUAGCGACUUUGAGACACGGCUGCUCUCUGCUCCUCAGCGCUUCAGAUCAACUCUCUCUCCCAACACCAGAUCAAUAGACUGGGAUUACUGAUACAGUUACUACAACCAGACGCAGGAUCCACUGGGAUCUACCAGGAAACAGAAGAAGGACAACCUCAAGUCAUUGGCCCUUUCUCAAUAUGCGUUCUUGGGUGUUCUCAUGUCCUUGUGGACUAAUCACAGCUGAGUACUGUUCCAAUCUAAAGUCCGAGAACGGUCAUAAAACCCGGAUGUGACUCGCACCCCCCCCACUUUACCCAGAAUGCAUCGGAGUAGAAUUGUCUGUUCUUGCGAGAGCCAAAUAUCCCAGAAUGCAUUUCACCUCAGCAACAAGCAAUAAUGGCAUACUACUAACGUUAGUUAGUCACGGAAUGUCAUGUUAGGACUUUUUCAGACGAGAAGUUAGUUGUUUAAUCAAAAAUUCUGUCGUUGGUUUGUCAACAUUCAGCCUUCUUCUCAGCUCCAGGAUGCGGGAGAUGGUGGUGUAGUUAACGGCACCGUCAGACCUCUCCAUGCAUGUAUGUAUACACAGGCCAGGAGACAAACCCCAGAGGUGGAGGUGAAACAGGAAGCGCUGCAGAAGAAGAAGCCUACCUUCUUCAGCUGUCCGCUGCGCGUGCCCACAAACACCACCGUGUGCUCGCCGUAGGUGUAGGCCGCCACGGCGCCCAUGCCCUCGGUCCGGUCCUCGUAGAGCGGGCUCCCCUCGAUGACCCGCAGCCCCCCCAGAGGCUGGUUCAGGACCAGCCCGCAGAAAUCAUCCCCGAUCUGCUUCGGCUGGGGGGUUUAUUAAGUCAUAUAUUAAUAAGGAUUAAAUCACACCUUUAACAACAGAACAAAGGAGACGAAGAACGAGGAGAUACUACCUUCAUUUAAUGGACACCACUAGUGACUAAAACACACAUGUUGUGAAGACAGACAGAGACAGACAGAGGGACAGGCCUGGAUGUGCGAUAACGUCUGAUAAACGUCCACCACCAGUUCAUCUGAUGGGUGGAGAACCUUCUCACCGUGUGGAUGCAGGGCAGCUCCUUGUUGAGUAACCACGGCAACGAGAGUCGGCCCUCCCCCCGAUAACAGGAGCGGAUCCUCUCCCUCAUCGCCAGGUUGAUGUGCUGCAGGGUGAACAGGCACAGGACCGUCUCCCUGGGCGGGUUGGACCGGUUCUUCUGACCCUGAAACACAGGGAGAGAGGCGAGGGUUCAAGUCCCUGAGGCAAGGGGGAGGACACAGGGGAGACGGCAGGAGGACAAAACAGAAACCGAAAAAGAGAAAACCCACGUGAAACUGGGAAUUGAGGUGUGACUGUCUCCCCCCUCGUCCCCCUCACCCCCUACCUCCUCUCACCUGGGAGAAGACGACGAACAGGACGUCGUCUUCCUCGGAGAGGCCCAGGGCCUGUGCCAGGCGGCGCCCUGGUUUCUGCCUGAAGGCGGCCUGCACCAGGCGGUACUCCACCCCGUCCUUGGUGCAGCCCAGAGGGAACUCCACGUAGGAGUAGAACUCUGUGUCGUUGGAGCACAUGCGAACUAUCUUGGAGGUGAAGAACUUCUCUCCGCCGGCGUCCAUCUGCGUGAGCUGCGUGUCCAGCUGCAGCGUGAGGAAGUAGACGUAGGUGCGGCUGGAGAAGCCGUAGACGUAGUAGAUGUCGAAGGCCGGGUAGAGGGACAGCGUGUCCGAGGGAAUCUUGAUCUGCGAGGAGACAAACUCGUCCUGGUAGACCAGCGAGAACAUGUUGACGCUCUCCUCGUCCGCCACCAGCUUCCUGCUGGACAGCGUGGGGAAGUACUCCGACUUGCCGUCAAUGGCGGCGCCGAUGAAGAGGCGGCUGCCGCCCUUGGCUGGCCUCUUCCUCUUUGGGUCGGCCGCCCAGUCGUCCUCACCAACAACCACGCCUGAGGAGGAGGGGCGGGGCGUUCAUGACACAGGUCCUCAGCUGAUCGACAGGUCUUUCGCUCAAGGUAAAUUAACGUAGUUUUAACUGUUAACCUACGCAGUGACGCCUGCACUGAAUCAGCAUUAGCUCGUUAGCUCCCAGGCAUUGAAUGUUAGCAUGUUUCUUUAAGAGGAUUUCAUUAGAUUUAUGACUUCAGUGACUGCUGGUCUUAAAUGUCCUUUUAGGCCUGUGUCUUGAUUUCCCGCCUGACCAGGUGCACCUUACCUGCCAUCCCAUCAGCCUCUCUGGCUCCAGACAGGUAGUGCUCUUUGCGGUGGUGAGGCUCCCCCAGCUUGAAGAGGUCCUCCAGCCUGAGGAACUGACAGACGCCCUGCCAGAUGGAGCCGCACGCCACCAGUCGGUUCCCAGUAUAAUCCACCAGUAAGAGCUUGUUCACGUUAUCGGACGAGUCCAGCCUGAGGACAGAGACAGACAGGCGGGACAUUAGACAGAUGAGCAGCCAGAGGGAAGAGACUGAAGAGUACGGCUGUCACCAAAUCAAACCUUCGUUGUGCGAUUAUUGCACCAACAUUUAAUGCGAUAAACGAACCAUUUUAUGCCACUGAUGUCAACAUAAUGACAAUAUAAUAAUAAUCAGAAUAGUUAGACAUUGGUAUCGGAAUGUGAAAAAAUAUAUCCUACGUGAAUAAAACUAAAAAAUAAAUGGGGACACGGAGCGGGUGACGCAUCGGGCGACGCAUCGGGCGGAGCAUUGGGCGGAGCAUUGGGCG
Long non-coding RNA from Gasterosteus aculeatus aculeatus (three-spined stickleback), 9620 nucleotides. The record is from Ensembl. Lineage: Eukaryota; Metazoa; Chordata; Actinopteri; Perciformes; Gasterosteidae.